AGUGAACGCUGGCGGUAGGCCUAACACAUGCAAGUCGAACGGCAGCACAGGAGAGCUUGCUCUCUGGGUGGCGAGUGGCGGACGGGUGAGGAAUACAUCGGAAUCUACCCUGUCGUGAGGGAUAACGUAGGGAAACUUACGCUAAUACCGCAUACGACCUACGGGUGAAAGCAGGGGACCUUCGGGCCUUGCGCGAUUGAACGAGCCGAUGUCGGAUUAGCUAGUUGGCGGGGUAAAGGCCCACCAAGGCGACGAUCCGUAGCUGGUCUGAGAGGAUGAUCAGCCACACUGGAACGGAGACACGGUCCAGACGCCUACGGGAGGCAGCAGUGGGGAAUAUUGGACAAUGGGCGCAAGCCUGAUCCAGCCAUACCGCGUGGGUGAAGAAGGCCUUCGGGUUGUAAAGCCCUUUUGUUGGGAAAGAAAUCCAGCUGGCUAAUACCCGGUUGGGAUGACGGUACCCAAAGAAUAAGCACCGGCUAACUUCGUGCCAGCCGCCGCCGCGG
This 506-nucleotide ribosomal RNA is filed under the name uncultured bacterium. Its description in RNAcentral is "partial 16S ribosomal RNA". It matches the Rfam family "Bacterial small subunit ribosomal RNA", at positions 29 to 523 of the family's 1533-position model. The record is from RNAcentral.